Non-coding RNA from Acanthosepion pharaonis, 105 nucleotides. The record is from the annotation of a GenBank genome assembly. NCBI's taxonomy places the organism in Eukaryota, Metazoa, Mollusca, Cephalopoda, Sepiida, Sepiidae.
UUACGGCCACAUCACGCUGAAAACAGCGAUUCCCGUACGAUCAUCGAAGUUAAGCAACGUUGAGCCUGGUCAGUACCUAGAUGGGUGAUCGCCUGGGAAUAAUGU